GCCGGGCGUGGUAGCUCACGCCUGUAAUCCCAGCACUUUGGGAGGCCGAGGCGGGUGGAUCACCUGAGAUCAGGAGUUCCAGACCAGCCUGGCCAACAUGGUGAAACCCCGUCUCUA
Macaca fascicularis (crab-eating macaque) is the source of this 117-nucleotide unclassified non-coding RNA. It matches the Rfam family "Metazoan signal recognition particle RNA". Rfam says of the family: The signal recognition particle (SRP) is a universally conserved ribonucleoprotein. It is involved in the co-translational targeting of proteins to membranes. Lineage: Eukaryota; Metazoa; Chordata; Mammalia; Primates; Cercopithecidae. The record is from Ensembl.